RNAcentral lists this ribosomal RNA (451 nucleotides) under uncultured bacterium. RNAcentral describes it as "partial 16S ribosomal RNA". It matches the Rfam family "Bacterial small subunit ribosomal RNA", at positions 29 to 523 of the family's 1533-position model. The record is from RNAcentral.
AACGAACGCUGGCGGCAGGCCUCAAACAUGCAAGUCUAGGGGGUGUAGCAAUACAUCACCGGCGGACGGGUGCGUAACGCGUGGGAAUGUACCUAUUGGUUCGGAACAACACAGGGAAACUUGUGCUAAUACCGAAUGUGCCCGUAAGGGGAAAGAUUUAUCGCCAAUAGAUCAGCCCGCGUAGGAUUAGCUAGUUGGUGAGGUAAUGGCUCACCAAGGCUCCGAUCCUUAGCUGUUCUGAGAGGAAGAUCAGCCACACUGGGACUGAGACACGGCCCAGACUCCUACGGGAGGCAGCAGUUGGGAAUCUUGGACAAUGGGGGAAACCCUGAUCCAGCCAUGCCGCGUGAGUGAUGAAGGCCUUCGGGUUGUAAAACUCUUUCGACGGGGACGAUAAUGACGGUACCCGUAGAAGAAGCUCCGGCUAACUUCGUGCCAGCCGCCGCCGUAA